AAUCCGUUUAUUGCUCUUUGCGAUGGCUCUUAUCCUGAUUCACCAACCGUCUCUUUAAUUCCCGAUAGCCAUGGCUCUUCUCCUCACACGAUUAUUCCGAUUUCGUCUGAGGGAGCUAAAUUGAUCGAUUUCGUGCUAAACGUUGUUAGAAAAGAAGCUGAGAAUUGCGACUGCUUACAAGCUCAGAUCCGUACUCGACCAUUCUGGUGAUGGUUUUGGCCGCCCCGAAGACAUUUCUGAUCAGCGGUGUGAUCAUGGUUCUUGGAUUAUGCUUGUACCCAUUCUUAACACUCGUUAAGGAGAACCUGAGUUGAAAUAUGUAAAAACCUGAGUAAAUUCAUUCAGUUUUGUUGAUCUCU
This is a long non-coding RNA of Arabidopsis lyrata subsp. lyrata, 359 nucleotides long. RefSeq lists it as uncharacterized. NCBI's taxonomy places the organism in Eukaryota, Viridiplantae, Streptophyta, Magnoliopsida, Brassicales, Brassicaceae. The record is from RefSeq and is a predicted model, not a curated record. The transcript is spliced from 2 exons.